UUAAUUAAAAUAAGAAAGUCAGA
This 23-nucleotide non-coding RNA is filed under the name Cricetulus griseus (Chinese hamster). Lineage: Eukaryota; Metazoa; Chordata; Mammalia; Rodentia; Cricetidae. The record is from RNAcentral.